CGUGGAUCGAUUUGUCUGGUUUAUUCCGAUAACGAGCGAGACUCUAGCCUACUAAAUAGUAACGGGAUUAUCAUUGUCCCGGUUGCUUCUUAGAGGGAUUUUCGGUGUUUAGCCGCACGAGAUUGAGCAAUAACAGGUCUGUGAUGCCCUUAGAUGUCCGGGGCUGCACGCGCGCUACACUGGCGAAAUCAGCGUGCUGUAUCCAUUCUCGAAAGGGAUUGGUAAACCCAUGAAAAUUUGCCGUGCUUGGGAUCGGAAAUUGCAAUUAUUUUCCGUGAACGAGGAAUUCCAAGUAAGUGCGAGUCAUCAACUCGCUCUGAUUACGUCCCUGCCCUUUGUAC
RNAcentral lists this ribosomal RNA (341 nucleotides) under Nematoda environmental sample. RNAcentral describes it as "SSU rRNA". It matches the Rfam family "Eukaryotic small subunit ribosomal RNA", at positions 1300 to 1665 of the family's 1831-position model. The record is from RNAcentral. Lineage: Eukaryota; Metazoa; Nematoda.